This 253-nucleotide ribosomal RNA is filed under the name uncultured bacterium. RNAcentral's name for it is "partial 16S ribosomal RNA". It matches the Rfam family "Bacterial small subunit ribosomal RNA", at positions 524 to 776 of the family's 1533-position model. The record is from RNAcentral.
UACAGAGGGGGCAAGCGUUAUUCGGAAUUAUUGGGCGUAAAGGGCGCGUAGGCGGCGAUUCAAGUGACGGGUGAAAUCCCUCGGCUUAACCGUGGAACUGCCUGUCAGACUGGAUUGCUUGAGGCCGGGAGAGGCGAGUGGAAUUCCCAGUGUAGCGGUGAAAUGCGUAGAUAUUGGGAGGAACACCAGUGGCGAAGGCGGCUCGCUGGACCGGUUCUGACGCUGAGACGCGAAAGCGUGGGGAGCAAACAGG